UAAAUCCAGGGACCUUCGGAAUUUUAUCUUUAGAGAUUGCUCUCGAAAAUACCCAGAGUCUUGCACAAUAUCAACAGGCUGGAUCUGCCCAGAAAAAGAGUUCACUUCCAAACCACCCUGAGGAUUGUCCAUAUAUAAGGUGUGCACAAUGAUUUGUUCCGGUGAUGCUGGAGAUGAGUUUGAUGGAAGCGUCACUGCUUGGUUAGAAGUUAGUGUUAAUGGAAGACUUUGGCUGGAACCUGUCUGAAGAAUGAAGGUUCCUGUGGUCCCACUUGGCUGUAAGUAGAAUGACUAAAGACAAAGAAGAUUAUUCAGAUCUUCCAGAUGUAGAUUUAUUUUUUACCAAUAUGAAAGAACACAGUUUACCUUUUAUUGUGUUUCUUGUAUGUUUUGUGAAAAUGUUAGGAAAUAAUGAAUAAGGGUGAUUUUUUUAGGCUUCAGGACAAAGACCGUUAGGUGUCUUUGGUUACAUUUUGAGCUGCAUCAGAGGGACACGGCUCCUGCACAAAUUGUCGAGUGCAAAAAAAUGUUCUAUGUAUAUCCAUACUUUCAUUAAUGUACCAGAUGCCACCGCUUGGUACUGGGUUAUUUCCCCUACUCUGUUAAGAAAUUAGAGAGAAUGUUUUGCAGCAGGAUGUUUUUGUAUAGCAUUUACACAGUUGCACCAGCACAAUUCCUUUUUGUGACCUGAGUCUCAGUCUGGGCAUGCUUGAUAAAGAUACAUUUUAAACUAAAUAACAUCAGGGUUUUAUUAAAAUAGAUCAGCAAAAGAACAGAAAAAGACGCACGCAUACUUACAGGAAGGAUUUCAAAUGUCUGUAGUGUGCCACAGUUUAGUGCUAUGGUUUCUGUGUCAGUCGAAGGAGAGGCUGGAGCAGAAGAGGCUAUAAUUGACAAAAACUGCUUAUUAUAGCAGAUAGUGGCUUAGAAUGACAUUUUAUCAUGGGCAACAUUCAUUUUCAUCAUUUACACUACAUGUUUAUGAUGAAGGGAGCAACCGCCUGAAACGCAUCAGGCCCAUAACGCCACGGUGCUUUUUAACAUUGACAAAUAAAGUGAUGCGGUUCUCUGAUUUUCUUUUCGCAUAUCAUUUACACCACUAAGGCAUAUUUUAAAAAAGGCUAAAUUUAAAGGGAUGGCUCACCUUCCUGUUAACUUGUAAUAUAUUUAAUAUAUUAUAGAAUGGCCGAUUCUAAGCAACUUCUCAAUUUGGCCUUCAUUUUU
This is a long non-coding RNA of Xenopus laevis (African clawed frog), 1224 nucleotides long. RefSeq lists it as uncharacterized. The record is from RefSeq and is a predicted model, not a curated record. The transcript has 2 exons. Lineage: Eukaryota; Metazoa; Chordata; Amphibia; Anura; Pipidae.